GCUGGGCGAGGUGGCACAUGCCUGUAGUCCCAGAUACUCGGGACGCUGAGGUGGGAGGAUCGCUUGAGCCCAGGAGUUCUGGGCUGUAGUGUGCUGUGCGGAUCGGGUGUCUGUACUAAGUUCAGCAUCAAUAUGGUGACCUCCCGGGAGUAGGGGACCACCAGGUUGCCUAAGGAGGGGUGAACUGGCCCAGGUCAGAAACAGAGCAGGUCAAAACUCUCGUGCUGAUCAGUAGUGGGGUCACGCCUGUGAAUAGCCACUGCACUCCACCUGGGCAAUGAAGCAAGACCCCAUCUCU
This is an unclassified non-coding RNA of Aotus nancymaae (Ma's night monkey), 298 nucleotides long. It matches the Rfam family "Metazoan signal recognition particle RNA". Rfam says of the family: The signal recognition particle (SRP) is a universally conserved ribonucleoprotein. It is involved in the co-translational targeting of proteins to membranes. NCBI's taxonomy places the organism in Eukaryota, Metazoa, Chordata, Mammalia, Primates, Aotidae. The record is from Ensembl.